Molecule: ribosomal RNA, 490 nt
Filed under: uncultured bacterium
Lineage: Bacteria
Description: partial 16S ribosomal RNA
Rfam family: Bacterial small subunit ribosomal RNA
Source: RNAcentral
AGUGAACGCUGGCGGUAGGCCUAACACAUGCAAGUCGAACGGCAGCACAGGAGAACUUUCUCCCUAGGUGGCGAGUGGCGGAUGGGUGAGGAAUACAUCGCAAUCUGUCCAGUUUUGGGGGAUAACGUGGGGAAAAUUACGCUAAUACCGCAUACGACCUUCGGGUGAAAGAGGGGGAUCGCAAGACCUCUCGCGAGUGGGUGAGCGGAUGUCGGAGUAGUUAGUUUGGGGGGUAAUGGCACACCAAAGCGACGGUCUGUAGCUGGUGUGAGAGGAGGGUCAGCCACACUUGAACUUAAACACCGUCCAGACUCCUAAGGGAAGGAACAGGAGGGAAUGUUAGACAAUAGGCGCAAACCUUAUCCAGCCAUACCACGGCGGUGAAGAAAGCCCUCGGGUUGUAAAGCCCUUUUUUUGGGGAAAAAAUCUUUCAGGCUUAGACCCUGGGAGUAUGACGGUACCCAAUGAAUAAGCACCGGCUAACUUCGUG